Molecule: long non-coding RNA, 1205 nt
Organism: Syzygium oleosum
Lineage: Eukaryota; Viridiplantae; Streptophyta; Magnoliopsida; Myrtales; Myrtaceae
Exons: 4
Source: RefSeq, a predicted model, not a curated record
AUUGGUGAAAAUUAUCGCAAUGGAAAUCCAAGCAGCACCGCCAUUGUUGCUAUAGAUCCCAUGGAUAUGACAGAAAGCAUGCAAGAGGCUAUGCAUAGGUCAAACUGGGACAUGAGUGGCGCCGAGUAUGUGAGGAAAGAAGUGCCCCUGUAUGUGUUACCCAGCUCCUCUCUCCUCAAUGUUGUUUCACCUCUAACUUCAUUUACGGACCUGCAACGUGUCAUUUAUGAAGAGGAAAGGGCAGCAUAUGUUGAAACCAUCAGACAAAAUAUGAUGGAUGGGAAAGCACAUCCGCUUACUUUUAUUCAUCACACCUCAACGUAUCAGGCUUCCAUGUGCAAGUUAACAGAAUACUGGCGAGAAUCUAUUACCUUUGAUGCCCAUUGAUUUUGUGUCACUGUUGAUUUGUACUGAAUGCACAUCUCUUUUUCGUUGGUUUUUUUUUUUUUGCAGUUUAAGCCCUGACAUUAGAGUAUUUCAGGAUCGUGUGAUAGAGAACGAGAUUUGGGUAAAUAACUAACCUACAUUCAGAUAUUAUGGGACAGUGAGGAUCAGUCAACAGUCUUGCUGAAAAACCUCAAAUACUGAAGCUGGUGGAUGAAGCAAAGAGUUUGGAGAUGGAGGUCCAGAGAGGGCGUGAUUCGAGUUCAGGUCACCGGGGAAGUGUAUAUGGUCAGAGAAGCGGGCCUAGUCCAUCGGAGUCAAGCAAUAUAAGGAGCAUCAUCAGUAGCCCCGGCAGCCGAAGCAGGAAAUGGCCCCAGUGAAUUGCUAAGCUAGCCUAAUCUUUAGUGCAUUCUGCAAGGUGUCGUGUCCGGGUGAUGUAUUUGCUUGCCCCGAUUUGGUUUUGCAAUCUUUUGAACCAUCCGUGGGAAGUGUAAGAUGUGAGGUUUGUUCGCGGUCCCUGUUCUUCAUCUGUAAAUCGCGUGGUCCAUUUUGGUCGGCCAUUAUACAUACAUUAGCGAAAAGGCGGACUUUCCGCAGCCACAUUGUAAUUGUUUAUCCGGCAUCAUUACUACAUGCUAGACGUGCAGACAUUCCAGACCUGGGGCAGCUGCAGAUGAAAAGCUCGAACUAGGAAAUUAGGAACAGUGGAAUCUCUUGUAAUCCUCAUCAUGAAAAGGAGCCUGAUGGCCAGUGACAUGAACCUUGAGCUGUGUGAUGAAUCUGUCGUUUGAGCUUUUGGUACAUCCACGCAAUUCACCAAA